This 229-nucleotide ribosomal RNA is filed under the name uncultured bacterium. RNAcentral's name for it is "partial 16S ribosomal RNA". It matches the Rfam family "Bacterial small subunit ribosomal RNA", at positions 568 to 796 of the family's 1533-position model. The record is from RNAcentral.
CGUGUAGGCGGUUUGGUAAGUCAGAUGUGAAAGCUCCGGGCUUAACCCGGAAAGUGCGUCUGAAACUGCUAGACUUGAGUACGGGAGAGGAAGGUGGAAUUCCCAGUGUAGAGGUGAAAUUCGUAGAUAUUGGGAGGAACACCGGUGGCGAAGGCGACCUUCUGGACCGUCACUGACGCUGAGACGCGAAAGCGUGGGGAGCGAACAGGAUUAGAUACCCUGGUAGUCC